GAUGAACGCUGGCGGCGUGCUUAACACAUGCAAGUCGAACGGGAAACCUUUUAUUGAAGCUUCGGCAGAUUUAGCUGGUUUCUAGUGGCGGACGGGUGAGUAACGCGUGGGUAACCUGCCUUAUACAGGGGGAUAACAACCAGAAAUGGUUGCUAAUACCGCAUAAGCGCACAGGACCGCAUGGUCCGGUGUGAAAAACUCCGGUGGUAUAAGAUGGACCCGCGUUGGAUUAGCUAGUUGGCAGGGUAACGGCCUACCAAGGCGACGAUCCAUAGCCGGCCUGAGAGGGUGAACGGCCACAUUGGGACUGAGACACGGCCCAGACUCCUACGGGAGGCAGCAGUGGGGAAUAUUGCACAAUGGGGGAAACCCUGAUGCAGCGACGCCGCGUGAAGGAAGAAGUAUCUCGGUAUGUAAACUUCUAUCAGCAGGGAAGAUAGUGACGGUACCUGGCUAAGAAGCCCCGGCUAACUACGUG
RNAcentral lists this ribosomal RNA (478 nucleotides) under uncultured bacterium. RNAcentral's name for it is "partial 16S ribosomal RNA". It matches the Rfam family "Bacterial small subunit ribosomal RNA", at positions 28 to 507 of the family's 1533-position model. The record is from RNAcentral.